RNAcentral lists this ribosomal RNA (255 nucleotides) under uncultured bacterium. RNAcentral describes it as "partial 16S ribosomal RNA". It matches the Rfam family "Bacterial small subunit ribosomal RNA", at positions 524 to 776 of the family's 1533-position model. The record is from RNAcentral.
UACGUAGGUGGCAAGCGUUGUCCGGAAUUAUUGGGCGUAAAGCGCGCGCAGGCGGCCUCUUAAGUCUGAUGUGAAAGCCCCCGGCUCAACCGGGGAACGGGCACCGAUACGGGCGGCCUCGAGGGGGGUAGGGGGGUCUGGGAAGCUUCCGGUGGAGCGGUGAAAUGCGUUGAGAUCGGAAGGAACGCCCGUGGCGAAAGCGAGGCCCUGGACCCUUUCUGACGCUGAGACGCGAAAGCCAGGGGAGCGAACGGG